AGUCAAUCUAACCUAUGGACGGGGAUAACCUCGGGAAACUGAGAAUAAUACCCGAUAGAUCAUUAUGCCUGGAAUGGUUUAUGGUCGAAAUGAUUUAUCGCCGUAGGAUGGGACUGCGUUCUAUCAGCUUGUUGGUGAGGUAAUGGCCCACCAAGGCUAUAACAGAUACGGGCUCUGAGAGGAGAAGCCCGGAGAUGGGUACUGAGACACGGACCCAGGCCCUAUGGGGCGCAGCAGGCGAGAAAACUUUGCAAUGUGCGAAAGCACGACAAGGUUAAUCCGAGUGUUUUCUGCUAAAGAAAUCUUUUGUCAGUCCUAAAAACACUGAUGAAUAAGGGGUGGGCAAGUUCUGGUGUCAGCCGCCGCGGUAAAACCAGCACCUCAAGUGGUCAGGAGGAUUAUUGGGCCUAAAGCAUCCGUAGCCGGCCGUGUAAGUUUUCGGUUAAAUCUAUAUGCUCAACAUAUAGGCUGCCGGGAAUACUGCACAGCUAGGGAGUGGGAGAGGUAGACGGUACUCGGUAGGAAGGGGUAAAAUCCUUUGAUCUAUUGAUGACCACCUGUGGCGAAGGCGGUCUACUAGAACACGUCCGACGGUGAGGGAUGAAAGCUGGGGGAGCAAACCGGAUUAGAUACCCGGGUAGUCCCAGCUGUAAACAAUGCAAACUCAGUGAUGCACUGGCUUGUGGCCAGUGCAGUGCC
Molecule: ribosomal RNA, 699 nt
Filed under: uncultured marine archaeon
Lineage: Archaea
Description: bacterial SSU rRNA
Rfam family: Archaeal small subunit ribosomal RNA
Source: RNAcentral